CAGGGUAUAGUUGAGCUAAUAAAAUUUUUCACUUACACCGAAAAGACGUCUGUGUAAAUCAGACUACCCUGA
This 72-nucleotide transfer RNA is filed under the name Physiculus japonicus (Japanese codling). RNAcentral describes it as "tRNA-Val". It matches the Rfam family "tRNA". From Rfam's summary of the family: Transfer RNA (tRNA) molecules are approximately 80 nucleotides in length. Their secondary structure includes four short double-helical elements and three loops (D, anti-codon, and T loops). The record is from RNAcentral. Lineage: Eukaryota; Metazoa; Chordata; Actinopteri; Gadiformes; Moridae.